GUGAGUCAUCGAGUCUUUGAACGCACAUUGCGCUCUCUGGUAUUCCGGAGAGCAUGCUUGUUUGAGUAUCAGUAAACACCUCAAAUCCUCACUUCUUUUUGAAGAGAGGAAUUUGGACUUGAGCAAUCCCAACACUUGCAAGAGUGGCGGGUUGCUUGAAAUGCAGGUGCAGCUGGACUUUCCUCUGAGCUAAAAGCAUAUUUAUUUAAUCCCGUCAAACGGAUUAUUACUUUUGCUGCAGCUUAACAUAAAGGAGAAUCGUUCUUGUGCUGACUGAUGCAGGAUUCACAGGUUGCUUCGGCUGACUUGUAAACUCGAUCUCAAAUCAAGUAAGACUACCCGCUGAACUUAAGCAUAUCAAUAAGCGGAGG
This 371-nucleotide ribosomal RNA is filed under the name uncultured fungus. RNAcentral's name for it is "eukaryotic LSU rRNA". The stretch from base 1 to 71 matches the Rfam family "5.8S ribosomal RNA", at positions 84 to 154 of the family's 154-position model. Lineage: Eukaryota; Fungi. The record is from RNAcentral.